AUUGAACGCUGGCGGAAUGCUUUACACAUGCAAGUCGAACGGUAGAGGGGGCAACCCCUCGAGAGUGGCGAACGGGUGAGUAAUAUAUCGGAACGUGCCCAGUCGUGGGGGAUAACGUAGCGAAAGUUACGCUAAUACCGCAUACGAUCUAAGGAUGAAAGCGGGGGAUCGCAAGACCUCGCGCGAUUGGAGCGGCCGAUAUCAGAUUAGGUAGUUGGUGGGGUAAAGGCUCACCAAGCCAACGAUCUGUAGCUGGUCUGAGAGGACGACCAGCCACACUGGAACUGAGACACGGUCCAGACUCCUACGGGAGGCAGCAGUGGGGAAUUUUGGACAAUGGACGCAAGUCUGGUCCAGCCAUUCCGCGUGCGGGAUGAAGGCCCUCGGGUUGUAAACUGCUUUUGUACGGAACGAAAAGGUCUCUCUUAAUACGGGGGACUCAUGACGGUACCGUAAGAAUAAGCACCGGCUAACUACGUGCCAGCAGCCGCCGUAA
This 496-nucleotide ribosomal RNA is filed under the name uncultured bacterium. Its description in RNAcentral is "partial 16S ribosomal RNA". It matches the Rfam family "Bacterial small subunit ribosomal RNA", at positions 30 to 523 of the family's 1533-position model. The record is from RNAcentral.